GACGAACGCUGGCGGCGUGCUUAACACAUGCAAGUCGAACGGAAAGGCCCUGCUUUUGUGGGGUGCUCGAGUGGCGAACGGGUGAGUAACACGUGAGUAACCUGCCCUUGACUUUGGGAUAACUUCUGGAAACUGGGGCUAAUACCGGAUAGGAGCUCCUGCUGCAUGGUGGGGGUUGGAAAGUUUCGGCGGUUGGGGAUGGACUCGCGGCUUAUCAGCUUGUUGGUGGGGUAGUGGCUUACCAAGGCUUUGACGGGUAGCCGGCCUGAGAGGGUGACCGGCCACAUUGGGACUGAGAUACGGCCCAGACUCCUACGGGAGGCAGCAGUGGGGAAUAUUGCACAAUGGGCGGAAGCCUGAUGCAGCAACGCCGCGUGCGGGGUGACGGCCUUCGGGUUGUAAACCGCUUUCGCCUGUGACGAAGCGUGAGUGACGGUAAUGGGUAAAGAAGCACCGGCUAACUACGUGCCAGCAGCCGCGGUGAUACGUAGGGUGCGAGCGUUGUCCGGAUUUAUUGGGCGUAAAGGGCUCGUAGGUGGUUGAUCGCGUCGGAAGUGUAAUCUUGGGGCUUAACCCUGAGCGUGCUUUCGAUACGGGUUGACUUGAGGAAGGUAGGGGAGAAUGGAAUUCCUGGUGGAGCGGUGGAAUGCGCAGAUAUCAGGAGUAACACCAGUGGCGAAGGCGGUUCUCUGGGCCUUUCCUGACGCUGAGGAGCGAAAGCGUGGGGAGCGAACAGGCUUAGAUACCCUGGUAGUCCACGCUGUAAACGGUGGGUACUAGGUGUGGGGUCCAUUCCACGGGUUCCGUGCCGUAGCUAACGCUUUAAGUACCCCGCCUGGGGAGUACGGCCGCAAGGCUAAAACUCAAAGGAAUUGACGGGGCCCCGCACAAGCGGCGGAGCAUGCGGAUUAAUUCGAUGCAACGCGUAGAACCUUACCUGGGUUUGACAUGGAUCGGGAGUGCUCAGAGAUGGGUGUGCCUCUUUUGGGGUCGGUUCACAGGUGGUGCAUGGCUGUCGUCAGCUCGUGUCGUGAGAUGUUGGGUUAAGUCCCGCAACGAGCGCAACCCUUGUUCACUGUUGCCAGCACGUUAUGGUGGGGACUCAGUGGAGACCGCCGGGGUCAACUCGGAGGAAGGUGGGGAUGACGUCAAGUCAUCAUGCCCCUUAUGUCCAGGGCUUCACGCAUGCUACAAUGGCUGGUACAGAGAGUGGCGAGCCUGUGAGGGUGAGCGAAUCUCGGAAAGCCGGUCUCAGUUCGGAUUGGGGUCUGCAACUCGACCUCAUGAAGUCGGAGUCGCUAGUAAUCGCAGAUCAGCAACGCUGCGGUGAAUACGUUCCCGGG
Molecule: ribosomal RNA, 1343 nt
Filed under: uncultured bacterium
Lineage: Bacteria
Description: 16S ribosomal RNA
Rfam family: Bacterial small subunit ribosomal RNA
Source: RNAcentral